RNAcentral lists this ribosomal RNA (433 nucleotides) under uncultured bacterium. Its description in RNAcentral is "partial 16S ribosomal RNA". It matches the Rfam family "Bacterial small subunit ribosomal RNA", at positions 29 to 507 of the family's 1533-position model. The record is from RNAcentral.
AACGAACGCUGGCGGCAUGCCUAACACAUGCAAGUCGAACGAGACCUUCGGGUCUAGUGGCGCACGGGUGCGUAACGCGUGGGAACCUGCCCUUAGGUUCGGAAUAACUCCCCGAAAGGGGUGCUAAUACCGGAUAAUGUCUUCGGACCAAAGAUUUAUCGCCUUUGGAUGGGCCCGCGUUGGAUUAGCUAGUUGGUAGGGUAAAAGCCUACCAAGGCGACGAUCCAUAGCUGGUCUGAGAGGAUGAUCAGCCACACUGGGACUGAGACACGGCCCAGACUCCAACGGGAGGAAGAAGGGGGGAAUAUUGGACAGGGGGCGAAAGCCUAAUCCAGCAAGGCCGCGUGAGGGAUGAAGGCUUUGGGGUUGUAAAGCUCUUUUACCGGGGAUGAUAAGGACAGGGCGGGGAGAAAAAGCCCCGGCUAACCCGGUG